This 253-nucleotide ribosomal RNA is filed under the name uncultured bacterium. RNAcentral's name for it is "partial 16S ribosomal RNA". It matches the Rfam family "Bacterial small subunit ribosomal RNA", at positions 524 to 776 of the family's 1533-position model. The record is from RNAcentral.
UACGUAGGGUGCGAGCGUUAAUCGGAAUUACUGGGCGUAAAGUGUGCGCAGGCGGCCGAGCAAGUCGAGUGUGAAAGCCCCGAGCUUAACUUGGGAACUGCGCUCGAAACUACUUGGCUAGAGUGUGGCAGAGGGAGGUGGAAUUCCGGGUGUAGCGGUGGAAUGCGUAGAGAUCCGGAAGAACACCGGUGGCGAAGGCGGCCUGCUGGGCAGUAGCUGACGCUGAUGCGCGACAGCGUGGGGAGCAAACAGG